CCACGCACGUUGAAAAGUGCGGGGAUGAGGUGUGGGUAGCGGAGAAAUUCCAAUCGAACUUGGAGAUAGCUGGUUCUCUCCGAAAUAGCUUUAGGGCUAGCCUCGAGGUAAAGAGUCAUGGAGGUAGAGCACUGUUUGGACUAGGGGCCCUUCUCGGGUUACCGAAUUCAGAUAAACUCCGAAUGCCAUGUACUUAUACUCGGGAGUCAGACUGCGAGUGAUAAGAUCCGUAGUCGAAAGGGAAACAGCCCAGACCACCAGUUAAGGUCCCCAAAUAUAUGUUAAGUGGAAAAGGAUGUGGGGUUGCUUAGACAACCAGGAUGUUGGCUUAGAAGCAGCCACCAUUGAAAGAGUGCGUAAUAGCUCACUGGUCGAGUGACCCCGCGCCGAAAAUGUACCGGGGCUAAACAUAUUACCGAAACUGUGGAUGAACCUCUUUAGAGGUUCGUGGUAGGAGAGCGUUCUAAGGGCGGUGAAGUCAGACCGGAAGGACUGGUGGAGCGCUUAGAAGUGAGAAUGCCGGUAUGAGUAGCGAAAGAAGGGUGAGAAUCCCUUCCACCGAAUAUCUAAGGUUUCCUGAGGAAGGCUCGUCCGCUCAGGGUUAGUCGGGACCUAAGCCGAGGCCGAUAGGCGUAGGCGAUGGACAACAGGUAGAGAUUCCUGUACCAGUGCUAAUUGUUUAACCGAUGGGGUGACACAGAAGGAUAGGGAAUCGCACGAAUGGAAAUGUGCGUCCAAGCAGUGAGUGUGA
Molecule: ribosomal RNA, 751 nt
Filed under: Listeria innocua
Lineage: Bacteria; Bacillati; Bacillota; Bacilli; Caryophanales; Listeriaceae
Description: partial 23S ribosomal RNA
Rfam family: Bacterial large subunit ribosomal RNA
Source: RNAcentral